Molecule: ribosomal RNA, 493 nt
Filed under: uncultured bacterium
Lineage: Bacteria
Description: partial 16S ribosomal RNA
Rfam family: Bacterial small subunit ribosomal RNA
Source: RNAcentral
AUUGAACGCUGGCGGCAUGCUUUACACAUGCAAGUCGAACGGUAACAGGUUAAGCUGACGAGUGGCGAACGGGUGAGUAAUGCAUCGGAACGUGCCCGGUCGUGGGGGAUAACGCAGCGAAAGCUGCGCUAAUACCGCAUACGAUCUGAGGAUGAAAGCGGGGGACCGUAAGGCCUCGCGCGAUCGGAGCGGCCGAUGUCAGAUUAGGUAGUUGGUGGGGUAAAGGCUCACCAAGCCAACGAUCUGUAGCUGGUCUGAGAGGACGACCAGCCACACUGGGACUGAGACACGGCCCAGACUCCUACGGGAGGCAGCAGGGGGGAAUUUUGGACAAUGGGCGAAAGCCUGAUCCAGCAAUGCCGCGUGCAGGAAGAAGGCCUUCGGGUUGUAAACUGCUUUUGUACGGAGCGAAAAGGUCUCCUCUAAUACAGGGGGCUCAUGACGGUACCGUAAGAAUAAGCACCGGCUAACUACGUGCCAGCAGCCGCUGUAA